GUUCGUGUAGCUCAGCGGAACUCAGAGAGCGCUGGUCUACGAAACCAGAGGCCGAAGGUUCGAAUCCUUCCACGAACA
Molecule: transfer RNA, 78 nt
Filed under: Acidobacteriota bacterium
Lineage: Bacteria; Pseudomonadati; Acidobacteriota
Description: Acidobacteria bacterium (wastewater metagenome) tRNA-Arg
Rfam family: tRNA
About the family: Transfer RNA (tRNA) molecules are approximately 80 nucleotides in length. Their secondary structure includes four short double-helical elements and three loops (D, anti-codon, and T loops). Further hydrogen bonds mediate the characteristic L-shaped molecular structure. tRNAs have two regions of fundamental functional importance: the anti-codon, which is responsible for specific mRNA codon recognition, and the 3' end, to which the tRNAs corresponding amino acid is attached (by aminoacyl-tRNA synthetases). tRNAs cope with the degeneracy of the genetic code in two manners: having more than one tRNA (with a specific anti-codon) for a particular amino acid; and 'wobble' base-pairing, i.e. permitting non-standard base-pairing at the 3rd anti-codon position.
Source: RNAcentral